RNAcentral lists this long non-coding RNA (236 nucleotides) under Phoenix dactylifera (date palm). Its description in RNAcentral is "long non-coding RNA (PDAC_LNC017664)". Lineage: Eukaryota; Viridiplantae; Streptophyta; Magnoliopsida; Arecales; Arecaceae. The record is from RNAcentral.
GAGUGAACGUUUUAAUUUUUAUGCAACUCCAAUCGCCUCCCUGUGGAUUGACCUCUUACAACCGUUAUUUUUCGAGUAGAACAGGUAAGAGUUAAAUUAAUUUAAACUUUGUUUGUCGGUUCUAACAACGAUCUGUUUAGCAUAAUUUUUAGUUAGACAGGAAAGGACGAACACCAGCCGAUGAUGUGCAUUCCGCCCAAGGAUCAUGCGUCCGCUCCCUUUGGAUUCAUGGCUGG